Molecule: ribosomal RNA, 493 nt
Filed under: uncultured bacterium
Lineage: Bacteria
Description: partial 16S ribosomal RNA
Rfam family: Bacterial small subunit ribosomal RNA
Source: RNAcentral
ACGAACGCUGGCGGCGUGCUUAACACAUGCAAGUCGAACGGUGAAGCGCCUUCCUUUUUGGUGGGUGUGGAUGAGUGGCGAACGGGUGAGUAACACGUGAGUAACCUGCCCCCUUCUUCUGGAUAACCGCAUGAAAGUGUGGCUAAUACGGGAUAUUCUGGGUCUGUCGCAUGAUGGGUCUGGGAAAGAUAUUGUUUCGGUGGGGGAGGGGCUCGCGGCCUAUCAGCUUGUUGGUGGGGUGAUGGCCUACCAAGGCGGUGACGGGUAGCCGGCCUGAGAGGGUGGACGGUCACACUGGGACUGAGACACGGCCCAGACUCCUACGGGAGGCAGCAGUGGGGAAUAUUGCACAAUGGGCGCAAGCCUGAUGCAGCGACGCCGCGUGAGGGAUGGAGGCCUUCGGGUUGUGAACCUCUUUCGCCAGUGAAGCAGGCCUGCCUCGUUUGUGGGUGGGUUGACGGUAGCUGGAUAAGAAGCGCCGGCUAACUACGUG